AGAUUGAACGCUGGCGGCAUGCCUUACACAUGCAAGUCGAACGGCAGCGCGGGGCAACCUGGCGGCGAGUGGCGAACGGGUGAGUAAUAUAUCGGAACGUACCCUGGAGUGGGGGAUAACGUAGCGAAAGUUACGCUAAUACCGCAUACGAUCUAAGGAUGAAAGGUGGGGGAUUCGCAAGAACCUCAUGCUCCUGGAGCGGCCGAUAUCUGAUUAGCGUUAGUUGGUAGGGGUAAAGGCCUACCGAAGGCAUCGAUCAGUAGCUGGUCUGAGAGGGACGACCAGCCACACUGGAACUGAGACACGGUCCAGACUUCCGUACGGGAGGCAGCGAGGUGGGUAAGUUUUGGAACUAAGUAGGGGACGAAAGGCCUAGAC
Molecule: ribosomal RNA, 378 nt
Filed under: uncultured soil bacterium
Lineage: Bacteria
Description: bacterial SSU rRNA
Rfam family: Bacterial small subunit ribosomal RNA
Source: RNAcentral